AGCGGAUGACCUGUGGCUGGGGGUGAAAGGCCAAUCAAACCGGGAGAUAGCUGGUUCUCCCCGAAAGCUAUUUAGGUAGCGCCUCGUGAAUUCAUCUCCGGGGGUAGAGCACUGUUUCGGCUAGGGGGCCAUCCCGGCUUACCAACCCGAUGCAAACUGCGAAUACCGGAGAAUGUUAUCACGGGAGACACACGGCGGGUGCUAACGUCCGUCGUGAAGAGGGAAACAACCCAGACCGCCAGCUAAGGUCCCAAAGUCAUGGUUAAGUGGGAAACGAUGUGGGAAGGCCCAGACAGCCAGGAUGUUGGCUUAGAAGCAGCCAUCAUUUAAAGAAAGCGUAAUAGCUCACUGGUCGAGUCGGCCUGCGCGGAAGAUGUAACGGGGCUAAACCAUGCACCGAAGCUGCGGCAGCGACACUAUGUGUUGUUGGGUAGGGGAGCGUUCUGUAAGCCUGCGAAGGUGGCCUGUGAGGGUUGCUGGAGGUAUCAGAAGUGCGAAUGCUGACAUAAGUAACGAUAAAGCGGGUGAAAAGCCCGCUCGCCGGAAGACCAAGGGUUCCUGUCCAACGUUAAUCGGGGCAGGGUGAGUCGACCCCUAAGGCGAGGCCGAAAGGCGUAGUCGAUGGGAAACGGGUUAAUAUUCCCGUACUUGGUGUUACUGCGAAGGGGGGACGGAGAAGGCUAUGUUGGCCGGGCGACGGUUGUCCCGGUUUAAGCGUGUAGGUGUGUGUUCCAGGUAAAUCCGGUU
RNAcentral lists this ribosomal RNA (747 nucleotides) under Salmonella enterica. Its description in RNAcentral is "partial 23S ribosomal RNA". It matches the Rfam family "Bacterial large subunit ribosomal RNA", at positions 799 to 1547 of the family's 2925-position model. The record is from RNAcentral. Lineage: Bacteria; Pseudomonadati; Pseudomonadota; Gammaproteobacteria; Enterobacterales; Enterobacteriaceae.